GCCGCGGUGGCGGAAUGGUAGACGCAAUAGACUCAAAAUCUAUCGGGGGCAACCUCGUGAGAGUUCAAGUCUCUCCCGCGGCA
This 83-nucleotide transfer RNA is filed under the name bacterium. RNAcentral's name for it is "tRNA-Leu". It matches the Rfam family "tRNA". Rfam says of the family: Transfer RNA (tRNA) molecules are approximately 80 nucleotides in length. Their secondary structure includes four short double-helical elements and three loops (D, anti-codon, and T loops). The record is from RNAcentral.